CAUAUGAAUUCUUUUGCUUUGUUUUGUCCUCAUUUUGUAGUUAAACUCUCCUGGAUAAAAUUCAAAAAAACUAGAAUGAGAAAUGGACAUAAACAAUCAUUGAGGACAUAAAUUGGUGAACUAGAAACACAUUAUAAGUCUGGAAUCACUGACUCAUUGCAAUCACUAUUUGAGAAUUUCCAGUUUUUGUUUGAUACAAUAUGAUAUAAGGGUUUCACGUCGCUAAUGUACUGGAGUUAACUCCCCUUUAGCGGGUGUUCAUUCAAUGCAGGAGACACUAAAGUAAAUUAGGCCGCUACAGUGGGGUUAAAUAACAAUUUAUGUUGAAACUCCCUUAAAGAACUCAUUAUUCAAUGAAGCUCAUUUUUUAAAGAGGAAGGGAAACCUAGGGUAAUUUUCUUCACAUUUUUACUAAAUUCUUCGGUAAAGAUUACUAAUUCAUUUCCCUGACUUAUUAUUGUGAUUCUUUGGCCUUAAAAUCCUUGUUGGGUGAUCUUAGAGAGAGCUUGACUUGAAUUAUGGUGGAAAACACUAGGUUUUGUAAAAAAGAACAUAGAAAUCAUAUUGAGUUAGGAUUGAUUAUAAUCUGAGUAUUUGUAGGUCAUUAUUGAUUGACGGUUUACUGUGUUUUUUAUUGUUUUAGUCUAGGAACAAGCCAAUAUUCAUUAAAGGGAUUACUCAUGUUCAAUAAAACUUCGAAGGCUUGAUUUAAGGUAUGCUAUCAUUGUUUGUUUUCAUGUUUAUCUUAUAUGAGUUUGUAUAGUGCUUCAUUAAUAUUACAUAUGUAACAUCUCACAAAUUGAAACAGCAAGGAAGAAGCUUAGAAGUUUAAAUGGUCAUUUUCAGAAAGAAUUAAAAUUUGGAAUUUUUCUGAAGUUAGGACAAAGUGUAUUUUUGGUCAACUUCAACGGCCAUAAAUCCUAGUUCAGGACGAUUUAGAGGUAGUUCUUCUUAUAAUUAGAAAUACCUUGGUAAGAUCUUUCAAACGCCGCUGAGCUUACACAAUUUUGACAUCGUAUUGUGAGAUAUGCCCUUUAGAAUUUGGGCUAUCGGAUCAAGGAAAUAUCCAAUCCGGAAUUUUAAAGGGUGUUUUGGUGUUUUCCUUAUCCAACCUAAAUAGUUUUUAUUGGUUAAUAAAUUUGGGUCUAAACUAAUCUUAUUCAUUUUACACUUUAAAAAAUAAGUUAGGGUUUUGAGAGUAGAGAAAAAAAGAGGAGAAAAGAGGAGAAAGGAGAAUAGGAAGCAAGAACGUUCCAAAUCAUCGAAGUUCGGGUUGUGGAAUUCAUUGGAGGUGAUGCCUCAAAAGGUACGUGAGAUAAUCUUUCGUUGGGUCAUGUCACCCACACACAAACUUGUUUAAAUUCCGGGUUUAUUUUUUAGUUAAAGAUAUUGGUUAAUUAGGGUACUAAUUAUCCAAUGUGUUUGGGGAAAGAACCAUGGAAGUUUAGAGGAUUAGAGAUAAAAACGUAGGAGAAAAGUUUAGAACGCUUGACCGUAGGGCCUUGGCGUUCCACGCCUCCCACAACUCAACAGGACAAUCUCUAAUUGUAGGUCCUUGGGGCGCUGCUCCAUCUAGAGUUCCCCAACAUGUGCUCAAAAGUUUGGGGCCUGAUUCCCACAACUCUCAAAGCACGCAGGACACAUGUGCAUCCCAUUCAUUCCCAACAAUUUUUAGUACUAGUUUCUAAGUGAUGUAUUCACAUUUCUUAGUUGAUUCCACCAAUAUAAGGUACGCCUAAAAAUCAUGAAAUCAUCCAUAAACAUGAGACCAUGAACCUCGAAUCCAUAAUCCAAUUCAACAAAAUAUAGAUCAAAUUCAAAGAGGUUAAGUGUUAAGUAUAGAAGUUAAGAAGUAAGUCAAAGUAAAGUUUCUUCAAGUUUCGAGAGUCUUUAUUAAAUAUUUUACCUUCGUUUUAAGGAUAAAGUUUCAGGGUAAUCAAAGAGUAAAUAUUUGAAGUUCUUCCUUCAAAGAAAUAAAAGGGAAUUAAGUAUUCCCUAACAGUUGAUUUAAGACUCAAGUUAUAAGUUAAGUAAAGAGUAAAGAGUAAAAAGUAAUGUUGAAGUUCAUUCUUCAAAAGUAUAUGGGAACCAAGUAUUCCCAAAGAGAUUUAAAAUGUUUUCACAUUUAAACAAGUAAGGAAACAAUGUUUUCCAAAGAGCAUCCAGGUUAGUUUCAGAAAAGAUUUAUAGCUUUAUAAAAUUAAGCCAGCAAGAAAAUGAGAUUUCCAAGAUAAUGUUUGAGAUAUGUUUUUGAGAAGAAAUGCAGAAUCACAGGAAAAGUUUUGUUUAAAGAUAUAAGAUAAGUAUAUUUUUGGGAUUAGAAUUGAAAACUGAUAUGGGGAUGGGAUUUUAGUAUUAACUAAAGUAUCCAUGAAAACCGUGUAGCCAUCAUGGGUAGAAAAAGGGUCAUACUUUUUAGAUGAAUCCUUUCAAAUCAGACUAGUGGAUCCAUUAGAAAUUUUAGGUCCUAUUCUCUGGUAAGGUUACGAUAGCAGGGCAGCGUGGGCUGAGUAACACUGUAUCAUCACUAGAACUACUAAGUGAUGGUUGUCAAUUAGAGAAUCAUCGACAACAAUAGAUGCAUGGUUCCUCAAGAGGUCUUGCCUAGUAUGGAUGUGGUAUGGGACAUCAUUCAUAUAUUGCAUGAGCAUACAUUGAGAGGAAGCAUGAUAAGUCUUUUAUUAUGAUUAUGAGUUGACGUUAGUUUAUUUUGUACUUUUACAUACAUAUCAUAGUUGUUUUGUAUUUUUGUAUACACACAGAGCUUACAUCAUGGUUUUUAAACAACCUAUCUUUAUUAUGCAAUUGUUUUUAAAAUGCUUUAUAAUUAAAUGAGUUUUGCUAAGUAUGCAUAAGUUAAGUGUUUCUUUCAUAUUCUCUUUCAAGACAAUGUUGUUUUUUCAAUCUAACACGCAAAAUCAUACAUUCAGUGUACAAAUGCAAGUUGGUCUGCAUCAUAUCAUGAUGCAGAUGUGAUGCAGAUAUUGGUAACUAGGAUCAAUAUUUGACGUAGUGUUGAUCCACUAAGCAACUCAGAGUCACUUGGUGAUCCUCCCUUCAUUCUGGAGGAAAUAUUUAUCAUUCUAGUGAUUGGAUUUAGUUUUCAGUUGUUAGGAUGAUUGGUUGUCGUGUCCCAAUAUCCCUCUUUAAAUUAGAGGCUUCAUAGACAAAUGUUGUUUUUAACAACCCUAAAAAUUGAUAUGCUAAGUAAUGCUUAAUGUGCCUAGAAUUCCUACGAUUAGACCGGGUUCACACGGAUUGAUGCGCGUAGAACUAGACCUCUUAAUCCUUGCGACAUCCAAGCCAACUAUCUUGGGGAGUUAUUUGAGUUACGAAUGUUUGGUUCCUGCCAUGAAGUGUACCCGAAUACUAGGAUUCACCCGGAUGAGUCUUAACCGGACUUAGAGGGUUAGUCCGAUGUUUUAAGGGUUUUAUGGGUAUAAAGAAAAUUUAGGGUCCUUCCAUUAAGUGUACCCGAAUACUAGGAUUCACCCGGAUGAGUCUUAACCGGACUUAGAGGGUUAGUCCUAGGUUAUAAGGGUUCUAGGAUUAUAAAGGUAAUUUUGGGUCUAGGGGUAGUAUAUUAAUUACCCUAGGCUGAUAUUUAAAUAAUAAAAUAAUGUUAUUAAUUAUUAAUAUAAGUCAAAUCUCGAUGGUCAAACCCGAGAUUGAACUUACCUCCAUACUUGGGUUCGAGCCAAGUUGGAGGCAUAAUGAGGCAUAAAUUAAUUUAUUAAAAUUAAUUAAAAUAAGGAGGGGCAUUAUAAUAACUUAAUAUAUAUUUUACAAUCAAAUUUAACAUUUUAAUUGAAUUGAAUAAGUCAACAACAAUUCUCACAGAAGAGGUGCAUGACUCCCACUAGGAGUGUGCUUCAUGCCCACUCUUAAUUCUUUUUAUUACUCCUAAAACCUUUUUCAUCUUUACUUCACCAUUCAAAAACAGAAAAAAUAAUAUAAGCCUACUGCUCUAAACGUGUUCUUGGCUGCAUCCAUCAAAAACAAAAAGAAAAAUUCGUACGCCUAAGCAUCACUCAUAAAGAACUUCACUUGUGAACAAGAAUCAAGGCUCUGGAGAGAGGUUUGGGCAUGGGUUAGGGCGUGGGAUUGUGUCUUGUUUUCAAGGCUGAAAAGGUAUGGGUUUUCAUACUCAUGGUCCCUUUCCAAAGAUACCCUUAGGACUAAGAUGAAUCUAUUCCGAAAACUAGGGUUGUUCCGCGUUGUAUGUCCCUGUCAUAGAUCCCAUCGAUUUAUAGGUUUGGAAUGCGUGCGGGUAGAACUUAGGGAUGUAAUGUGUUUUCUUGAUGAUUACGUUCAUGUUUGUAUGUAAGGAUUUAUGUGAAAUAUAAUCAUGUUGUCCGAAACUAUGUGUUUAUGUGUGUACUAUGUGUAGCCGUGACAUAUACUUUUGGGUUGAAGUUCGAAUGUGACAUGUUAUGGUUGUAUUCUUACGUGCACAAACUUGUAUAAAUCGUGAUUUUCAUAUGACAUAUAAGGUGGAUGAUUUGAAUGAAAACUAUUAGCUAAUUGAAUCCAUGAAAAUGCACCUAAAGAUGUACUAAAUGAUCCAUGAAUCACCCUAAGAACUAACGUGUAAACGUUGAUGAAAAUGGGCUUAAAAACAUACAUAAUUUCACGCAACUUGUUGAUGAGUUUCGGACAAGUUAAGUGGUAUAUCAUGCUAUAUAAAAUGAAAUUAAAAAUAAGUGAGGUCACUGAGAAUCGAACCCAUGACCUCACCAUGUUAAAAAAUUUUGAAAUAAAUUGAUAGAAAAAGAAUGUGGAAUCCGAACCCGUGUUCCUUGACCAAAACAUAAUAAGGAUAAUGAAAAAUAAAAAUGAAGGGUGUAAGUUUCGAACCCACAACCUCUCGCCCAGACUUAAGGAAGACUUAAAAGAAAAAUAAAAGUUGAGACGUGUGGUAAUCGAACCCAUGACCUCUAGGCAGAAUAAAAGGAAUUAAGGAGAAAAUUAAAGUAGGGUUGUGGGUGUUCGAUCCCACACCCUAUUGGUCAAAACAAAAAUGGUUAAAGGAAAAAGUAAAAUAAAAGAAAAUGAGGUUGUGGGGUUUUGAUCCCACAUCCUCUCAGUCCCAAUGAACGAAAAGAAUAAAGAGAGAAAUCAAGGAAAAAUGAAUAGAAGGUUGGGGCUCAAUUUUGGGUCCCCAAGCCGUGUGGGUCAAACUAAAUUUAAAAAAAUGUAAGUGUUAUCCAAGAGAUUUGAAAUUGGGUUCCCUUGUCCCAUUUACGUAUUGAUACAUAAGUCAUACGUGAAGAAAUGUCCAAAUAAUGCUGCCUACAUAGAACGAAAUCAAUGAUCUUGGCAUACAGACAAGAUGCAUAAGUCUUGUACUACAAUAUCUUAGGAAGAUAGAUUUAGCAUAUAUAGAGUCAUUGGUCUAGCAUACGUUUAAAAGUAAGUGAAACUAAUAUGUAUGAAACGAAAUGAUGAACUCCUAGAAGGGUUAAGUAAGAGUGUGGAACACACAAAAUGGCCAAGUGCAUUGGCAUAUGAUGAAACAAACAUUCACGUAAAAAGGGGUGAGUAAUUAUGAAGAGCAAAUGUGGUAAAGCUAAUGAAUGUGGUGACAACAUAAUAAGAGGCUAUUGUGAAAUAUGAGAGCAAUCUCAAAUGAUCCUAAGUAAAUGUUACCAAAACAUACUCACCUAUGAGAGUGUAAAGUUAAUGAAUAGACCAGUCUCUAUGAACAAUCUAAUGAAUGUAUUGAGAUUAAUGUAUGCUUAAUACUAAUGAUAAGAGGAGAAAUUAUCUAUUUAUCUCUGAUGUCCUCAUACUAGAAGUCAGCUUCCAUGAUGUAUGAGUUGAAUGAAAUGGAACUUUAUACUGAGAACCGAUUGGCUAGCUAUGAGCAGUGAUGCCUUCCUUCGAGAAGGGCGGAGGUUCACGUAACUCCCAUGAGAUGAGACUGUAUAGUAUAUUAGGUAUGGGUCUCCUUAUAUCUCCUAGUCUUUGAACAUAUACUGCCAAUAUAUGGAUCUAGCAGGUUUAAAUUCCCUAUAUACGCUAGCAUGUUUAGGGUCACGUUGGCCGGUGAUUCUAUCUCUUUUUGGUGUGGGGAAGACACUGUAUUUUAUGAUGUUCACAUGAUCUAUGUCGGUUAAAGUUAAAGAUCCCAAAGAAAGAAUCAGGCCAUCCUCAAAUAAUGCACAUAAUGAAAUAAAUGAUACUUACCAAAGGUGUUAGGAUAGGAUAAUCAAGAGGUGAUCUAGACUUAAGAAAUGACACUAGCUUAUUCUUGGUCAUUGCACAACAAACCCAAUGAGAGCCUUAAACUAAAUCCUAGGUUUGACUAGUAGUUACACUAGUAUAUGAAUGAAUGAAAUGAAGUACGCCUGAAUUAAUGAAGCAGACUCUGUGUUUGAUAAAGAAGGCUCACUAGUCGAGGUCCCAUAUGUGGAGCCCUCAUUUUGUGAAGUCUUAAUGUCAAGUCCUUGAUUCCAAGGUCUCAUAGCAUAUGAACGAAUCAUAUGAAAUAUGUUAGGUGGUAUAUGCAAUAUGUUAGGUGCUAUAUGUACUACGUUAUGUGUUGUGUGCCAUAUGAUACAUAUGAUGAAGCAUGUUACUCUCAUGGCAUGACUUUUCUAAUAAAAUUUGACAAGUCCACUUGACUUUCCUAAUCAAAAUUUUGCAAGUCCACUGCCUUGACUUUCCAUAAAUCAUGCUGUUAGGAAAGAGUUAUUCUUACUCAUGCAUGUCCUUGGUGUGUGCUUGCAUAUACCAAUACUUAGUACAAGUGUGUACUAAUCUCAUGCAAUAUCUACUUUUAGGUCCAGACACAGGUGGACGUUAGAUCUUACAGUACGACGUUGAAGCUAUCCGAACGUAAAGCUUUCAACUUCAAUUGGUAGGCCCUCAUGCUUUUGAGGAUGUCUACAUUUAUUAUAUAGAUUAGAUAUAGGAUUUAGAUUGUGGAGCAUGUUCCACUAGUGUUUCGUUUAUACUUUUAUUUCAUACAUUGUAUUGGUUCCAUUUUUGCAAGAAUACACUUAAUAAAGAUUGAACUAUUUCUUUCAUUUGAUUAUCUUAUUGUUAUAUGGUUGAUUGUGAACGUUUAUAAGUUUAAGUAGAAUGUUUUACACAAGUGUUAAGUAACAAAAGUUUCAAAUUUUCUGCUAAAAGUAACCUAGAUGAAGUAACGAUAAUAUAUGUAGGAUUGUCUGCGACCACUGAGAGGUCAACGACGCCGGUUUCGUCUGGGGUCUCGAUUCCAGGCAUGACAGUGUUAGUUUUUUUAGUCUUUUCAUUUAACUUGUAAAUGAUUGAUACUUGAAUUUCCACUUUGGCUAAGUAUCACUUUUAAUUUAUUUGUUUAGUUAUAUAUUAUGUUUAAGUCUUCCGCUUAGUAAAGUAUGUCAAGCCGAAGUUUUGUUGAACACCAAAAAUGGUCAUUAUGUACUUAUCAUGUCCAGGGUGUAGACUUGGGCAGUGACAAACUUAGUAUCAUAGCAUAAAGUUCAAGAGUCAUAGCGAUUAUAUGAAGUCGUGUAUGUAGUAUCUUUGUCAUUGGUUUGAAGUGUUCCGCAUCUAUGAUUAGGAGGAUACAAAAUGUAUGAAUUUCUAACUUCCUUCGUAUUCCUUUUUUCUCUUAUUCAUAUAUGGACGUGUUUCGAGAGACUCAUGCUUCCACAAAGAGCAAUCAAAAAUCGUCUAGAUAGGAGAGAUAUUGAGAAAUAAGAGUUGCAAAAUGCACUUGAAGUGCAACCACAAGGAAAAAUUACCCAUACUAAAUUAUUUGAGACUAUCUGGAUGUUAAGUCGAGUUGCCCACAUCAGUUAGAUAUAGACGUAAAUGAGAGGAUGUGGUUGAUACUUCAGAGAUCCAUGAAUUUUUAGCGAUGAAUUAACCAAGAUUUACACGUUGAAGUGUCUCAGAGGACCCUAAAAACAUUUCUGAAGUACUUCAAAAAUCUUUUGACAUAUUGCAUGUUUUUUAUGUUGAGAGGGUUGAACAUAGCUGCAUACCAAAUAAAGAGUAUUGCUAGAGUCUUGUUUGCCCAAUGGAAAAAGAAUACAGCUGAGGAUGUACCAAUUGUAAGUUGGGUUGUGUUUGAGAAUGUUCUCAUGGUAGGUUUCAUUCGCUAUGUGUUGUGAGAGAAAAAUAUAAGAGAGUUUAUAACGCUUAAUCCUGCGAUUAUGAGUGUUCAAGAGUACGGUCUGAAGUUCGCACAACUUUCCUGCUAUGAUCUGGAGAUGGUUGCUGACAAAAGAGGGGGAAAUGAGUUUAUUUGUGGAUGGGUUGUCUCGUCAGUCAAUAAAGGAAGGAAAUGAAGCUAUGCUGAUAGGGGAUAUGCACCUAGAAAGGUUUAUGAUCCAUGUAAAACAAGUGUAGGAGGAUAAGUUGAAGGAUAGAGUAAACUUUAAGAAGAAAAGGACUAUGACAUUAGGAAAUGAGUUCAUGCAACAAAACAAUAAUGCCAGCAAAUCCUCCGUACAUUAGAAGCAAAAGAGACCUACUCCAUCAUCUACGAGUGAACCUACACCUAUGAGCAAAAGUGAGUACAAUAUUCAGAAGUUCAGAGAUAAUCCAGACUAUUCUAAAGAGAGUUUGGCGCAAAGGGAUAGUAGGCCUCAUGCAUGUGCUAAGAAUGGAAGAAAUCACUUGGUAUUUCUCGUGAGGCCUUUACUAGUUGUUUUAAGUGUGGUCAAAAUACUCAUUUUCUGAGGGAGUGUCUUGAGAGCUGGCAAGGUAGUGGAAAUCAGGGCAACAAGGUCAAAGCUUCUCCAGUUGCUCCACCACAAAGAGCUGCACCUAGAGGGCAUACUUUUGAUACUGGUAAAACAAAAAACCACUUAUAGGAUAUCAACACUUGUCAAGAGCAAGAGGAUUCACCAGAUGUUGUCAUUGGUAUGAUUCAAAUAUUUGAGUUUACUUUUUAUUCUUUGCUAGACCCCGGAGAGAGUUUAUUUUUCGUAAUUCCAUAUAUUUAUAUAAUCUUUGAUGUUUUUCCUGAACAUCUUAGUGAAAUAUCUAGUGUUUCUAAACCUAUUCGUCGGUCUAUUCUCGUAGACAGAGUCUAUCGUGAUUGUCCUAUUUUCGUCAAUCACAAAAGUACCAUGACUGAUGUAGUUGAGUUAGAUAUAGUAUACUUUGUUGUCAUUAUAUGUAUUUACUGACUUCAUGCAUGCUAUGACUGAGUUGACUGUAGAACUCGAGCAGUCAUUUCAGUUUCCAACCGAGCCAGCCUUAGUGUGGAAAAACAGUUCAGUAGAAGAAGGGUCAAUUCAUUUCGUACAUUAAGGCGAGAAAGUUAGUUUCUAAGGAGUAUGUCUAUAACUUAGUCUAUGAAUAUAGUGUUGAGAUAACUCCUAUUUAGUGAGUUCUAGUAGUGAAAGAGUUUCUAGAAAUCCUUCAAGACGAUAUUCCGGGAGUCCCUCCCGAGAGAAAGAGAGAGAGAGAUAAACUUCAACAUAGAUGUUCUUCUAGAUACUUGUCCUAGAUCUAUCAUUCCAUAUAGGAUGGCCUCAACAGAGUUUGUAGAGUUUAAAGAAAAAAUGAAAGAUCUGUUUGAUAAGUGCUCUGUUCGAUAAGUGUUCUUCGACCAUGUAUCUCACCUUGGGUGCUCCGGUCUUAUUUGUGAGAAAGAAAGAUGGUUCCCUUAGGAUAUAUAUAUAUAUAUAUACAUAUAUAUACAUAUAUAUAUAUACAUAUAUAUAUAUAUAUACACAUACAUAUAGGUUACUAUCUGCAACAACUGAGCAGCAACCCGUAGAAGCUACAAGGUUUAAUAAACCUCUCGAAGGUCUCAAAAUAAGUAAGAAUUUAAAGCUUUCUUCACCAUGAAGACUACUUUCAUUAAUAAAAAAGAACAAGAAUUUUAAAAAUGUUCUACCUUUACAAUGUCUCAUUAAAACAUCUAUACGUUAGAAAACAACAUUUAUUACUAAGCCCAUACAAGACUUAAAAUAAGCACUUAAAAAGAAGAUGUGGGUCUUGUCCUCGAAUCUAUGUGGACUAACCAAAGCAUUAUAUUCAACACUUCGAAACCUAUUCAUCAUACAUGGCAUAUAAAGAACUUCAAUCGCUAAACUUUAGUGAAAACGGGAAAAGGAGUUAGAACAUUUAAUGCACUAAGAAUGGAAGCCAUGCAAACACCACAAAAAGGGGACAUUUUAUUUAUGAAAACAUGAUUUCAUGACAUUUAGAUAAAAACCUUUACAAUAAGAGUUUAAGAGGCAUAAAUAUACAAGUCAACAAUUACAUAUAAUACAUAUUCAAAUAAUCCGCAACCUACCAAAGGUUAUCCUAAAACCCACUUACGUAAGAUACCAAAUGGUCGCCCAUACAUCCCAUUCACAAACAACCAGGUGAUCCUCAAGAGUACCCAGAGAAAGGAUAUUCCUUUACAUCACAUAGCACUUAAAUCCAUAUUCAUCAAGAAAGCCUUCUCAUCAUUUAUAAUAUCUACCCAUGGUUAAUAUAAGAAUUACUUGAAUAAGACAUCAAAAGGUAACCCAUACACACUCUUCAAGCACACCUAAGCAGUCCUCAAAGCUACCAUAGAAAAGAAACUCUCUAUUAAACAUGCUUUAAUUAAAUCAACAUUAUUCAUUAAAUUUAUAAAAGAGAUAGCUAAAAAUUAGGGGACUUCACAUAAUGGUCUUGGAAGACCUAGGGAACUUAUUGUAGUAUAUUCAAGGGCUACUCGUUCCAUAUAUAGAUAGAGUCCUAUUCCACUACCUACACGUUGUAGAGCCCAUCCAAUACUAGAGUGCAUAUCACACAUGAUGAGAAUAGGAAUUAACCUACAUAGACCAUACUAGAGGUAUGUAAUCCGGAGUCCUAAGACCCCAUACCGUGUAAGGUUUCUACUUAACAAAGGUAGAACUAAGACUCAUCCCAUGUUUGCACAAGGUUAAUGGAUAUCAAGGGAUUAUUUAUAUUAUAGUUUCAUAAUUAUGUAGAGCUACUAAAACCAUAUCACUCGGUGCUUUUUUUUAAUAUGAUAGAGUAAAUUCAUUCAAAUGACGGUAUUUGAGAAGGUGCCAUUUCUUAUUCUUACAAACUCAUAAUACCCUACCAAGAAUGGUUCCACUAGGGAUUCUACUCAAAGUCCAUUAGGGCAUUUCAUUCUUAAUGUUAUUUUGAUAUUCAUGGUUUCAUACAAGUAAUUAAUAGAAUGUAACCACUAUAGGUCUACCGAUCGUAGACUUUCAUUGAACUAUACAUACAUGACUAGGCUGCCUAAGUCUACCAAGUUAAGAUAUCACCUUCAUAUAACUUUCAUGUAUCAAUAAGAAGGAAUAAAUCUAUCAAUAAAGACAAAACAUUAAUCAUAUAACUUAGUCAAUAAUAUUCAUGUACCCAAUAGGGACAUCAAGGUACCACAUCAUUCUAUAAUGACAUGUAACACACCAAAAAUUCAAUUAGGGAAAGAUAGAGUCUAUUAUGAGGCUAUACAAUCUCCUCAGAAAAGAUCUUUUCUCAGCCCUCAAUUGAAUUAACUCCUCAUGAACAUCACUUCCAUAUUGAUCAUCUUCAAGUAUUUCACUAUCUUCAUAAUCAUCACUCUCUUCAGUUGACUCAUCAGAUACUUUUACAGAGUAUUCACUAUCUUCAGAAUUUGAUGGAUCACUAUUUGGAGCUGUUGGAUUUGAAGUAGAAGGAAUAUUUGAGGUAGUAUGUAUAGUUAUAUCUACCCCAUUAUAAGCAGCCUCACCUACUUGAUUAUAUCCGCUACCCUCAGUGGUCCCAAAUUUAUUAAAAGUUGUACCAGAAUCCUCACUAGGCAUGUGGACAUAUACUUCCAAAACAGACCCACUUUGCAAACAAUUACACAUUGCUAAGAGGAUAUUAUCAUUGUCAAUAUCUCCUAAAAUGCAACUAUUAGGUGGCCGGACACUAAAUUUACAAUUUGGGCUAUACCCUAGUUCAAUAAUAUAGUCUUUAAUCUCAAAAUAUGAUAUUGUAUCCACAUCAAUAUCAUAAUAUUCACUCACUAACCCACUCACAUAUCUUGCUUUAUCACCUUCAUACAACAAGGCCCCACAAUGAUAAAACUUUAAAGUAAUGAAUGUAAACCCACUCAUACCUAUAUGCAUAAACAUAACAAUAAUUAAGUAAAAGUUGCUAAUAGAAUAUAAUAAUUGAUUAAGAAAAUACAUACCCAAAUAGUUAUAAAAACAAUUCAAGUUGAAGAAAACACAUAUCCAACCCCACACAUAAAAAACACAAUACCCCACAUGAAUAACACAAUACACGACAUAUCUUUAUCUUCUUACAAUUAGGUAUGUAACCCCACACAGACACAACACAACUCCCAACAUAUAUUAUAGUCUUAGGAUAAUGUUAUUUAAGUUUAACUCCACACCCACACAGACACAACACAAUACCCAACAUGAAGUUACUUUAUUGUAACCCAGAAUAUAAGACAACACAGAAAAACACCCAACUCGUCUUUAUCUUCUUGCAUGUUUCAUAUUAUAACAACAUAACUCACACAACUAUAAUACCACCCUACCAACACAUACUCAAAACACGUUCCAUAUAAAUGUAUGAAUAACAAGUCACAUACCCCAUAACAACAAAGAUGACAGUAUGAAUAUAUGAAUAACAUCAACCCUAAAAAUAAGAAAUUUGAUAUCUAACAGAACCACAACAUAAACCCUAAAAGUUAUAUUUCACUCAAAAUCGAAAUCAAUAUUUAAUAUAUCAUAACCCCUACAAAAUCUAAGCAUGACCACUACAAAAUCUAAGCAUAACAAAAAAUAAAAUAAAUGAAGAAAAAACUAACCUUUGAACUCAAGUCAGUCACGAUUCUUGCUGAAUGAAAUCGACCCACACUUUCACGAUUGAAAUCGAUCCACACAUGCAGCACUGCAACCAAAAAUUAACUAUCAAAAUCCAACAUCGAAAAACAAAUUUCAGUUGGAAAUCAAAUUUCUAACUUUUGAAAUCGAUCCACACACAAAUUUCAGUUGGAAAUCAAAUUUCUAACUUGUUACUUCAUCUACUUUUUGGUAAAAUUAAUUUGGAAAACAUAAAACGCCAGCUUUUCAAACUUGGGAAGUGUAAAGUUACUUUUUCGAAAGCUAAAAAAGUGGGUCCCGGCACGUGUUGAACAAACACAUCGACCUUUCAGAUUAUUAUUGCCACGUAGGCACGAAAGUGGUAAUUAAUUACUUAAAAAAAAGUUGGAGGGGGUAAUAGGACCUCAUCAAAGAUAAGGUGUGUCGCAGGGAUUUUGGGUAUAUGCUAGGGGGGUAAUUGAGUAUUAUCCCCCUUUUUAUUAGUAUUUGAAUGUUACUAGUCUAAAACAAUAACAAAAUACACAAUCAAUGAAUAAUGUCUUAUAAAUGCUCAAAUUAUAAACAAAUCAUAACACCAUGUGAUUCCUAUGAUCAUCCCUACAAAAACUAGGGUUUUCCACCAUUCAUUCAAGUCAAAGUCUCUCUAAUGCCACCAAACAAGGGUUCUAAGGCCUAAGAAUCACAUUAAUAAUAUAGAGGAAUGAGUUAAUUAUCUAUACUGAAGAAUAUAGUAGAAAAGUGAAAAAAAUCACCAUAGGUUGCCCUUCCUCUACCAAAAAGGAGCUCUAUAUAAUAAUGAGUGCUUUUAGGGGAAUUUCAAUAUAAACUACGAUUUCACCUCUCUAUAGUGACCUAACCUACUAUAGAGGCUCCUCAAUAGCAUGAACACUCACUAUGGAAUGAGUUAGUUCCACCACAAUAGUGACGUGACACCCGCUUUAUCAAAUUGCAUCGAACAAACACUUGGAAUUCUUCAAAAUGUUCAUGAUUAAUCAAAGAUUUCAGACUCAUAUUAGAUUUCUAGUUCACCAAAUUAUAUCCUCAAUGAUUCUUUAAGUCCAUUUCUGAUUCUAAUAUGUUUAAAUUUCAUCUAUGAGAGCUUAAGAAAAAAAAUAAAGGAAAAAGAAGGCAAAAUAAGUCAAAUUCACAUAAUAUCUGAAGUGUUCAAAUUUACAAUAUUUUUUAAUGUAUCAAAACACAUAAUGUGAAUGUCGACGCCAUGAUAUCUUAAUACUUUUUUCUUCUUUCUUAAAAAAUUCUAGUUUCCACAUUUUUAUAGUUACUUACAUAUCAAGACUUUGUUGUGAAAUGAGAAUAGUGUCAAAAGUUGCAUAGGAAUCUCGAUAUAACUUCCAUAAGAUGUGGCUAUCAUAGAUCCUAUCUAUUUUGUGGUGUAUACCUAUACAAAAUUAAUAAUUUGUGAUGCAUAUUAAUCAUAAUUACACAUAAACACUCUUUGUCUCAUUUGGAUUAAAAAUUAUUCGUCGCUGCAAACUAUUAUGUAAGUAUACAUAAUAACAAUGCAAUAAUAAUAUGAAGCUAAUGAUUAAACAAGAAAUAACAACACGUUAUAAGAUGGGGAAUUUUUCUUCUUCCUAGAAGAAAGCAUUUUAUUACUAUGAUUUGUUGCAAUUUCAUCGAGCAUGAAAAACUUCAAAAAUACAUCUUCUUGAAUAUAAUUUCAACAAGGUGAUGAUCGGUGGAAUUGUAACCUCUUGUUAUAAAACACAUUCCUAAAUUAUGUCAAGAAAGGUUGUUAGCACAAUCACAUAUUGGAUAUUUUUAUUGCUAGUUGAUGUUUAGGAUUAGCCGUAUUCUUAAUUAAGCUUUGCAGGUUUUGAUUCAAGUAAUUUUAACUAAUUUAUAUUACUAUUACUCUUUUUUAUUCUCUCAGUUGAAAUCAUCGUAUUACUUUUAAUAGGUGUAAUAUUCUUAUAUCGUGGCACUCAAAUGCUGCCACAAAUUGAGAUAAUAAGCUACACUCAAGUGCUGACAUGCUUAUUUUUAAGACCUAACUCAGUAAAAGCUUUGCCUUGACAUUCUAACUAAACAUUGUGCAAAUGAUGUUGGGUUCAACACUAUUCUCUUCUUGGCUUAUAGUGAAGAUGGUUUUGCUCCGUAUACAUAGUGUAUGGGGUAUCUUUGUUCAAAAGAUUGUGCUACGCUAAAAAAUUUAGUAAUGAACCUUCCUUAUUCUUUGUGCCACCUUCUAAAUAGCUUAUGAAGGUUCGGAAAAGUGUUAGACCAAAACAUUAAAAUCACACCAUAAAGCUAUUAUGGACGAACAACUUUUGGAACCUUCUUAAAGCAGUUAGUUGCACCAAGAUCAAAGAAGGUUCCAUCACCAAAAUUUGCAACCCUAGCAUAAUAUUUUUAACACAUGUACCUCAUUAACUCUUUAUAAUAUGAAUCAAAAUCCUCUCACUGUAAGGAAACAAACAAACAAUGAUGAACUCAACAUCAGUUCUGCAGUGCUUAAUUAGUUAGCAUGUCUUGUCUCUGUCUGGCAGAGCAAUUAAUUACAUUAGGUCUUAAACAUGAAACAUGUCAGCACUUGAGUGUAUCUUAUUUAUUUCAAAUUUAUGACGAUAUUUAAGUGUUAAAAUUUAAUCUUAUUAAAUCCAUAAAAAGUAAUACAAUGCAUGCAACAAAGAAUUAAAUAUAUUAGUUGAACCAAGACCCAAAAGGCUUAAUUAAGAAUAAAACUAAUCCUAAAACUUCAAUUAGUCUUAGAAAGAUUAAGCAUAUGCUUGUGCAAAAAGUCCUUCUUGACAUACUGUUGGAAUGUUUGAAUAACAAGAUACCAUCCCAUAGAGCAUCACCUAGCAGAAACUAUUGUUAUAUCCCUAAUAUUUUGAAAUAAGUUGCAACAUCGUGGGGGUAAAAAACAACUAAUUUAUUUAAAGAAUUUCAAUUUUAGAGUCACCACCCAUUUUAGGAAAAAUAGGAAACAUGUUAAUUAAUUAAUUAUUUAAUAAAUAUUAAUAUACAAAAUCAAUUAGAUUCUAGGUAAGGGUUAAUAUGAUCACGAAAGAAAGGAGUUAGCACCCUUGAGAAUCCACAAUUGUGGGUCCCGAAUGAACACAUUUUUAAAUUGAGGAGGAGAUAAAAAUUAAUUUCACAAUUAUACUAACAUGAAAUAUGUAUAUAUAAAUAAUAUAGUAAAAUUAAAAUGUGAAAUAUAGGGAAAUAUUUACCGAUUGCGAAUAAUAUAGAUAAUGAUGGAUAAAACAUUUAAAAAGUGUUAAACUUGUCUUUUUAAUAUCUUCAAUGGAAAACAAUUCUAGAUACUUGUAAUAAACACUUCAACAAAAUAUUACAACUAAUAUAUAUGAAUCAAAAGAAAUAAUAAUAAAAAUAAUAAUUAUAAUAAUAAUAGUAAUAAUAAUAAUAAUAAUAGUAAUAAAUAAAUGAAUAAGUAAAAGUAAAAUUCGUUUUAUGUAUAUCUGAGUGAGGUCUUAAAAUUUCAAAAAAAUAAAAUAAAAAUCGUCAUCGGCCAUUGACAAAAUAUUCAUUGAAUAUCAUAGUAAAAGAAUCAAAUGAAUCAUUAUUAUCAAUAAUAAGCUAUCUAUAGUUCUCACAAUUUCAAUUAAUUGCCAGCGAACGAUAGUGGUGUAAUGAAUGAUGUAUCAAAGUUCCACAAACAAAUAACAAGUUCCAGCAAUAAAAAAAUCCUCAACAAUGUAUCUGGUAGUAAAUGAUUAGUGUUGAAAACAUCUAAAACAAUGAAAAAUAAGCAAUAUAAAAAUAGAAAUUAAAUAAAAAUAUAAGCUAUAAAGAAAAUGAUAGAAAAUAACAAAGUAUUAGUAUCAAAUUAACACAAAAAUUAGGCAAAAUUGCAAAAACGAUACCAUAAAAAUAUAAAGAAAAUCUAGAUAUGCUAUUAAAAUAAAAUAUAACCAUGGUAAAUAAAAAACACAUCUACCAUACAAGACAUGAAAUACCAAUGAAAUAUAAAAGGUGAAACAGAUCAUAGAUACUAACAAAAUUGCAUUGGAGAAAAAGUUGUAGGUAAAAUUGAUUUUUCAUGUAAUCGCCGAAUCUGUGACUCUCUAUCCAAACACAUCACUGCAAUUUUGACAUGUAACCAAAAAAAAAAAAACUUUUGUUGGGAGAUAUGGAAAGAGGAUGUUUGUUAGGUGUCUGAAGUUUGUGGUGUUUUGAUGUCGUUAGUGGUUUUGCUGAGAAAGUUCAUAGAACACUUUUUGUUGGCAUUUUAGCUUGUAAUUUGUAUCAAUCGAUAGAUCUCGAAGAGAUUUACAUAGCUAUGUACGUUGUGUGGGAUGAAUAUUACUUAAACCUUUAAAUUUUAGAAAGAAAGUAACAGCUCUAUGAAGUUUGGUUAAGAAUAAAAGGAAAUUAUUUGUGGGUUCAUGUAGAGGAUGGUUAGGGGAAGAAGUGGUAAGUUUUGGGGCCAUUUUGAGGUAGGCGGAUGGAUGACUGGUAGAAAUGAGUGGCGAUAAAUAUGUUGUGAAACUUCUCACCAGACAUUCGACAUGAUAUUUAAAUCAAUAAUCGAUAUUGAAGAGAUCUACAUGCUUAUGUAAGUUGUUUGGUGUGAAGAUGACCUGAACUUUGCGAAUUUUAAAAAGAAAGUGAUUUUGGUGUUUGAUUUUUCUUAGAUCUAUGGAGAUUGG
RNAcentral lists this long non-coding RNA (17401 nucleotides) under Solanum lycopersicum (tomato). Its description in RNAcentral is "long non-coding RNA (SLYC_LNC000112)". The record is from RNAcentral. Lineage: Eukaryota; Viridiplantae; Streptophyta; Magnoliopsida; Solanales; Solanaceae.